UUGCAUCAUGAUUUACAUUUGAGUGAGUGGCGAACUGGUGAGUAACACGUGGGAAACCUGCCCAGAAGCGGGGGAUAACACCUGGAAACAGAUGCUAAUACCGCAUAACAACUUGGACCGCAUGGUCCGAGUUUGAAAGAUGGCUUCGGCUAUCACUUUUGGAUGGUCCCGCGGCGUAUUAGCUAGAUGGUGGGGUAACGGCUCACCAUGGCAAUGAUACGUAGCCGACCUGAGAGGGUAAUCGGCCACAUUGGGACUGAGACACGGCCCAAACUCCUACGGGAGGCAGCAGUAGGGAAUCUUCCACAAUGGACGAAAGUCUGAUGGAGCAACGCCGCGUGAGUGAAGAAGGGUUUCGGCUCGUAAAACUCUGUUGUUAAAGAAGAACAUAUCUGAGAGUAACUGUUCAGGUAUUGACGGUAUUUAACCAGAAAGCCACGGCUAACUACGUGCCAGCAGCCGCGGUAAUACGUAGGUGGCAAGCGUUGUCCGGAUUUAUUGGGCGUAAAGCGAGCGCAGGCGGUUUUUUAAGUCUGAUGUGAAAGCCUUCGGCUCAACCGAAGAAGUGCAUCGGAAACUGGGAAACUUGAGUGCAGAAGAGGACAGUGGAACUCCAUGUGUAGCGGUGAAAUGCGUAGAUAUAUGGAAGAACACCAGUGGCGAAGGCGGCUGUCUGGUCUGUAACUGACGCUGAGGCUCGAAAGUAUGGGUAGCAAACAGGAUUAGAUACCCUGGUAGUCCAUACCGUAAACGAUGAAUGCUAAGUGUUGGAGGGUUUCCGCCCUUCAGUGCUGCAGCUAACGCAUUAAGCAUUCCGCCUGGGGAGUACGGCCGCAAGGCUGAAACUCAAAGGAAUUGACGGGGGCCCGCACAAGCGGUGGAGCAUGUGGUUUAAUUCGAAGCUACGCGAAGAACCUUACCAGGUCUUGACAUACUAUGCAAAUCUAAGAGAUUAGACGUUCCCUUCGGGGACAUGGAUACAGGUGGUGCAUGGUUGUCGUCAGCUCGUGUCGUGAGAUGUUGGGUUAAGUCCCGCAACGAGCGCAACCCUUAUUAUCAGUUGCCAGCAUUAAGUUGGGCACUCUGGUGAGACUGCCGGUGACAAACCGGAGGAAGGUGGGGAUGACGUCAAAUCAUCAUGCCCCUUAUGACCUGGGCUACACACGUGCUACAAUGGAUGGUACAACGAGUUGCGAACUCGCGAGAGUAAGCUAAUCUCUUAAAGCCAUUCUCAGUUCGGAUUGUAGGCUGCAACUCGCCUACAUGAAGUCGGAAUCGCUAGUAAUCGCGGAUCAGCAUGCCGCGGUGAAUACGUUCCCGGGCCUUGUACACACCGCCCGUC
RNAcentral lists this ribosomal RNA (1342 nucleotides) under Lactiplantibacillus pentosus. Its description in RNAcentral is "bacterial SSU rRNA". It matches the Rfam family "Bacterial small subunit ribosomal RNA", at positions 67 to 1398 of the family's 1533-position model. The record is from RNAcentral. Lineage: Bacteria; Bacillati; Bacillota; Bacilli; Lactobacillales; Lactobacillaceae.